RNAcentral lists this ribosomal RNA (415 nucleotides) under uncultured bacterium. RNAcentral describes it as "bacterial SSU rRNA". It matches the Rfam family "Bacterial small subunit ribosomal RNA", at positions 335 to 735 of the family's 1533-position model. The record is from RNAcentral.
ACUCCGUACGGGAGGCAGCAGUAGGGAAUCUUCCGCAAUGGACGAAAGUCUGACGGAGCAACGCCGCGUGAGUGAAGAAAGGUUUUCGGAUCGUAAAACUCUGUUGUAAGGGAAGAACAAGUACGUUAGUAACUGAACGUACCUUGACGGUACCUUACCAGAAAGCCACGGCUAACUACGUGCCAGCAGCCGCGGUAAUACGUAGGUGGCAAGCGUUUAUCCGGAAUUUAUUUGGGCGUAAAGCGCGCGUAGGCGGUCUCUUAAGUCUGAUGUGAAAAGCCCCCGGCUCAACCGGGGAGGGUCAUUGGAAACUGGGAGACUUGAGUGCAGAAGAGGAGAGUGGAAUUCCAUGUGUAGCGGUAGAAAUGCGCAGAGAUAUGGAGGAACACCAGUGGCGAAGGCGGCUCUCUGGUCU